GAUGAACGCUAGCGGGAGGCUUAAUACAUGCAAGUCGAGCGAGAAGCUUUCUUCGGAGAGUGGACAGCGGCGCACGGGUGAGUAACGCGUACACAAUCUGCCCUAUACAGAGGAAUAGCCCCGGGAAACUGGGAUUAAUGCCUCAUGGUAUCUGUUCAUCGCAUGGUGAUAAGAUUAAAGAUCCGUCGGUAUAGGAUGAGUGUGCGUACUAUUAGUUAGUUGGUGAGGUAACGGCUCACCAAGACGAUGAUAGUUAGGGGGCGUGAGAGCGUGAUCCCCCACACGGGUACUGAGACACGGACCCGACUCCUACGGGAGGCAGCAGUAAGGAAUAUUGGGCAAUGGAGGCAACUCUGACCCAGCCAUCCCGCGUGUAGGAUGACUGCGCUAAGCGUUGUAAACUACUUUUAGAUAGGAUGAAACCCCGAGAUUUAUCUCGGGCUGACGUUAUUAUCAGAAUAAGCACCGGCUAACUCCG
This 478-nucleotide ribosomal RNA is filed under the name uncultured Lewinella sp. RNAcentral's name for it is "bacterial SSU rRNA". It matches the Rfam family "Bacterial small subunit ribosomal RNA", at positions 28 to 505 of the family's 1533-position model. The record is from RNAcentral. Lineage: Bacteria; Pseudomonadati; Bacteroidota; Saprospiria; Saprospirales; Lewinellaceae.